This 43544-nucleotide long non-coding RNA is filed under the name Theobroma cacao (cacao). Its description in RNAcentral is "long non-coding RNA (TCAC_LNC004300)". Lineage: Eukaryota; Viridiplantae; Streptophyta; Magnoliopsida; Malvales; Malvaceae. The record is from RNAcentral.
AUCAUUACAAAUUUCCAAUCCAAUGGACAAGAAUAAAUUCCUUAUGAAAAGCAGAUUCCGGUGGUUCUUGUUCCUCACCCUUGCCACAACUCUUUGACACUGGAAAUCCGAACAAUCCCAAGUUGCCAUCAUAGGAAUCAUUCAGAAAGGUAUUUAAUUGAUUUCCCUGAGGUAUGAGUCCAACAAGCUGGUUCUGUGACAGGUUUAAUACUUCAAGAAAUUUCAAACCAAUCAACUGCAUAGGAAUCUCCCCAACAAGCUUGUUGGUAGAGAGAUCCAGUGACUCAAGUGCUGUUAGAUUUCCCAGUGAGGAAGGAAUAUGACCUGUUAGGCUGUUAUGGGAAAAAUUGAGCAAUUGCAAAGAAAUGAGGUUUCCAACUAUUUCUGGAAUUCCUCCAUGGAAUUUGUUGCUUGACAUAUCAAUGGUUGCAAAAAGAGUUAGAACUCUCUCAGGUUCAAUGUCCAAACCUUUCAUUGUGACAAGCACAGAAAAAUGAUAAUAACGAUUCAAAUCUUGUAAAAACUUUGAUUAAGCUCAAUUAAUUAGGAAAAGAAUGAAGGACAGAGGAGCUGGCAGAAGAAAUUUGGGAUAGAGAAAAUUGGAGAUCAAAACUCUAUAGUCAUCUUUUUUCUCAGGUGUGUACAUAUGAGUAAUAACAAACCAAGCCGAAAAACUCAGACAUUGAGGAAAUGAAACUUAAAAGAGAAAAGAGCUAAGCACAGGAAUCCAGACAUGGAUUUCUGUGCACUACAACGGCCUUCAACAGCUAAGAGAAAAGUAAAGCAAAGAAAUAAAACGUGGCUUUUCAGCCCUACUUUCAGUCAAAUAAAACGGCACUAACAAGGGGCAUGUCUAACUGUUAAUUAAUUUCGUUGAAAAUUCGUUAAAAAUUUCAUCUUCAGAACAUAUGACUAACUGUUAAUUAUUUUCAAUAGAUUUUCAACGAAAUUUUUCGUUGAAAAUUUUUGUUGAAACCUUAAAAAUUUCUAUGUUAUCUUUAUCUUUUCCAACGAAAAAUUUCAUUGAAAAUUUCCAAUGAAAUUUUUCGUUGGAACCCUAUACUUUUCCUAUGUAAUCUUUAACUUUUGUAACAAAAUUUUCAAAGGAAUUUUUCGUUGGAAAGUAACUUUUGAAAGCAUCAAAACUUUUAUGACUUUUUAAACUUUUUAACGGAAUUUUCCGUUGAAAAAUUUCGUUAGAAAUAAUCAUAAUUUUUCCAGUUAUAAAAAUUUAAAAAUUUUUAUAAUAAUUUUUUUAAUUAUUUUUUAAAAAUUAGAUAUUACUAAAACCAAAUACAUAGUUAUUGAAGUUAAAUUUUUUUAAAGUUUAAAUAUGUUUUCCUUUGAGUAAUUUGUAUAAUUUUUUUAACUUUAAUGAAUCAUACAAUAUUGAUUAAUAAUACCAAAUUAGGGUAAUGUUAUAUUAUUCCAAAAUUUAAAAAAAUAACUAUGUAAAAUUUUAAAUUUUAUAAAAAACCAUGAUAAGUUAUAAANGUUGAAAAAGUUAAAGAGUAAAUGAUGCAUUGAAAAAAGUAACUUUUUAACGAAAUUUUUCGUUGGAAAGUAACUUUUGAAAGCAUCAAAACUUUUAUGACUUUUUAAACUUUCUAACGGAAUUUUCCGUUGAAAAAUUUCGUUAGAAAUAAUCAUAAUUUUUCCAGUUAUAAAAUUUAAAAUUUUUAUAAAUUUUUUUAAUUAUUUAAAAAUUAGAUAUUACUAAAAGCAAAUACAUAAUUAUUGAAGUAAAAUUUUUUAAAAGUUUAAAUAUGUUUUCCUUUGAGUAAUUUGUAUAAUUUUUUUAACUUUAAUGAAUCAUACAAUAUUGAAAUAUAAUACCAAAUUAGGGUAAUGUUAUAUUAUUCCAAAAUUUAAAAAAAUAACUAUGUAAAAUUUUAUAUUUUAUAAAAAAACCAUGAUAAGAUAUAAAAAUCAUAUAAAAAAUUAUAUAUUACAUUAUUUACGUUUUAAUUGUAAUUAGCUAAUAUAUGUAAAUUAAGAUUGAAGUUUUAUAAUAAAAUUAUUAAUAUUUGUGCUUAAAAAAUAUCAUUUUAUUAUAUGAGAUAUAUUAAAUAAAGGUCUACAUAUAUAUAUAUAUAAUUUAUGUAAGAUUAUAGUAAAUUUCAUUUAGAUGAUUAUAAUUAUUAAUGUAAUAGGAUAAAAAUCAUACAUUUUAUAAAAAUCAUAUUGAUAAUUAAUUAUACAAAUUUGGUUAAUACAUAUCAAUGUAUAACCUAUAAGUUGUGAUCAUUAUAUAUGUAUAUAAAAAAUUUAGUCAUAUCUGACUAUUACUUAUAUUGAGUAAUAUUAAAAAAAAAACUUUUUGAACGAAAAUAAAAUAAAUCUAAAAGUACUAUUAUUGUCAAGACUUGAACCUUUACCCACAUGUUAAAAGAGUUAAAAGAUAACCAUUUCUUCCACUAGCCCAUACUUAAAACUUAUCUCCCAAAUUUAAUUGGGUAUUAAACCAAAAUGAAUAUUAGUUGCCUUUGGCCCAAUACGUCGCCUUUCUGCCAAAAUUAGGUCCCCUUAACCCUACGUCAAAACCAUGUAGUUUUAAUCCAUAAAACCCUAGCUAUAAAGUUGCAAAUUUCUCCCCAAACCUGACUUUUGAAUUGCCAUUUUCUCUCUUUACCCGCGGCGCUCUCCCCUCUCUCUAAAACCUUUGCUCAACUUCCACGGCGUUCCCGGUGCUGUCCCGUUGCCGAUGGCCUGACUCCGGUUCCGACGUUGUCCUAUUUUAACAGCAAUCGGUCUCUCUCCGUCACCUUUGGCCCCGUCGUCCUGUUGCCAUAUUCUCUAGUUUGAACCUUUGCCGUCAUGACUUAAACACUCUUUGAAUGAAUCUGUCCCCGUCGCCUUAGUCCCCCUGGUGCUGCCUUACUCAUCGUCCGAUCCCUUCCACAAAUCGAGCCCUAGGGGUUAAUUUUGUAUACCUUGUUUAUUUGAUUUUUAUCAAUAUUUGUUUAUCAAUUGUUGCACCCUAGGUAUUUUUAAUGAUGUUAUUGUGUUUUAAUUAUUUGAUUUAGGGUUACAAGCCUAAACGUUUCAUUGCUUUAAUUUCAGUCAAAGGCUAAGGUCGACUCUGGAAGCAUAAAAACAGUGUUCAGUCUGCUUCAAAACAAGAUUGGGUUUUGGUAUAAUUUUGCAGGUGACUAAGAUGUAUAGAUAAGCAAUUAAAUGUUGGUAUUUGAGAACUGACCACCCCUGUUUUAAUUAUUUGAUUUGCUAUUACAAGCCUAAACGUUUGACAUAUUUAAAUGUUGGUAUUUGACAUAUUAUUUGAUUUGCAUUAAAUUUAGUUAAAAUUUUUAUCAAUAGUUUAUAAACAUAAAUAAAUAUGAUGUUUAUUAUAUUUUAAUGCAAUUUGGAUCAUCUAGCCGACUAGCCUAAUAUCUUAUUAGCCGAUUGGGAUCAAAAGCAAUUAACAUAUUUUACCUCAAGCCCAAAUAAAAUUAAGGCCCUAAUUAUAAUUUCCACUUUAAGUCUUAUAAUAUAACGCUUGAAUUUAUAGCCCAAUUUUAAAUUUCAAAAUAAAAUUGUCAUAACCAUAUGAAAUAAUUUAAAAUUUUGAUAUUUUAAAAAAUUGUAAUAAAUUGGAAAUUGCAUGGGUUAAUGAUAUUUAAAAGAAAGGGUAAACAUCAUGUAUAUAUAAUUUCAAUUCAAACUUAAUGUACAGUCACCAAUUUUAAGAUGCAGGUGUGAAUCUCUAAUUAAAGCAAUUUAAUGUGCAAAUAAAUAUAAACCAUCUACCUAGGUUUUUUGAUAAUUCAUGUAUGCAAUAAUUUAUACUAUAAGGGCUACUUUGCAUCUUACAAUGUAAUUUUGAAUAUAUUUAUAUAAAAUACAUAUUGAAAUGUAGGGUUUAACAAAUUGUUUUGUUACCAUCAAUACAAAUUAGUCUUGAUAAUGAUAUUCUAUGACACUUAGGAUUACAGAAUGUUGAGAAAUCGCUCUUGGAUGUACCGUCGAUUACAGAAUGCAUUCAUUACAGCUGAAUUUGUAAAUGGAGUUACUGAAUUUAUUAAUUUUGCAUGUUUGAAGACUACAUUUAUGUGGAAUAAUAAAAUUAGAUGUCCUUGCACACGAUGUAGUAACAACAAGUUCUUAGAUAAAGAUAAAGUCAUAGAACAAAUACUAAAUCGGGGUUUUACUAGGGCUUACACAAUUUGGAGUUUACAUGGGGAAGAUGAUGUUGGACAAUCAUCGAGAAGUAGAUCUAGAGUUGAACCAUCCCUUAGAUUUGAGGAAGAUGCUGCUUUUCGAGAACCUACAUAUGAAGAUGAAAUAGAAAAUCCAUAUACUAGAAUGGUUAGGGAUGCUAUGCAUACCGAAGUUGCUUUCAACCAUGGUUCUGAAAAUGAGUCGAGCUUUGUGGAAGAAGAUCCCAAUCCAAAUGCAUCUACCUUUUACUCUUUGUUAAGCAAUGUAGAGGAACCUUUGUGGGUAGGUUGCACAAACCACACAACGCUUUCAACUGUGUCGCAACUUUUAAAUGUUAAGGUGGAGUACAAUUUGAGUGAAUCGUGUUUUGAUCGACUAUUGGAGAUAAUAAAGAAUAUGUUGCCAUCUGAUGAGAAGUUACCUAUCGACUUUUAUAGGAUGAAGAAGAAGGUAGCAAAGCUUGGUUUGGGAUAUGUAAAAAUUGAUGCUUGCAAGAAUAAUUGUAUGUUAUUUUAUGAGCGAUUUGCUACGUUUGAGCAUUGUCAAGUAUGUGGACAUCCUCGGUAUAAACAGAGGAAUUCAAGUGUGAGAAGGCAGAAGAAAAUUCCUUACAAGAUUUUGCGUUACUUGCCACUUAUACCGAGGCUUCAAAGGCUUUAUAUGUCAUGUAAAACUGCUGAACAUAUGACAUGGCAUGCGCAACACCAAAGUGAUGAUGGACUGCUUAGACACCCUAUUGAUGGUGAGGCUUGGCAACACUUCAACCGAACACAUGAAUUCUUUGCAAUGGAACCUCGAAAUGUAAGACUCGGGUUAUGUGCUGACGGUUUCAACCCUUUUGGAUCGAUUGCCAACCCUUAUUUUCUUUGGCCAGUAAUGCUUUGUGUGUAUAAUUUACCCCCAUAGAUGUGUAUGAAACAACAAUAUAUAUUUCUUAACAUGGUUAUUCCGGGUAAGAAAAGUCCAAGUCAAAAUAUAGAUGUGUUCUUGAGGCCUUUGAUAGAUGAGUUGACUUUAUUGUGGAGAGAAGGUGUUAUGACCUAUGAUGCAUAUAGGAAACAAAAUUUUCAGUUGAGGGCAGCAUUAUUGUAGACAAUUAAUGAUUUUUCUGCUUAUGGUAUGUUGUCAGGGUGGAGUACACAUGGACGAUUAUCAUGUCCAUAUUGCAUGGGACAUUCUAAAUCUUUCAUAUUGGAACAUGGUAGGAAACCUUGUUUCUUUGAUUGUCGUCGGUAAUUUUUGCCAGCCAAUCAUCCUUUUAGGAGCCAGAGAGACAAAUUUAUUAAAAAAAGAGUUGAACAUGACUUACCAUUUCCUCGAUUAUCAGGCGAAGAAAUAUUGACACGUUUGAAUUCGCUUCCUCAUCUCCCAUUCGAAACAAAAUGUGAUGAGCGAAAGAGUUCAGGUUAUGGUGUUUUUCAUAAUUGGGUGAAGAAGAGUAUAUUUUGGGCUCUACCUUAUUGGCAUACGCUUCUUAUUCAUCACAAUUUAGAUGUUAUGCAUAUUGAACGUAAUUUUUUUUAGAAUAUACUCAACACAGUGAUGGAUGUUAAAGGAAGGACAAAGGACAACAUAAAGGCACGACAAGAUUUGAAGGUGUAUUGCAAGCGGCCAGAAUUGAAAUUGGUGGAAAAUCAUGAAAAACUGUACAAGCCUAAGGCUGCGUACACAUUAAAUAAGGAGGAAAUAAGAAAUGUCUGUUCUUGGGUUAAACAAUUGAGAUUACCAGAUGGUUUUGCGUCGAACAUUUCUCGGUGUGUUAAUGAGAUUGAUGGCAAAUUUUAUAGGAUGAAAAGUCAUGAUUGUCAUGUUUUUAUGCAACUAUUGCUCCCAAUUGUAUUCCGUGAUAUGCUGCCUCAAACAAUUUGGGAUGCAAUUACUGAGAUAUCUCAAUUUUUUAGGGAUUUGUGCGCAACUGAAAUACCUAUGAUCAUAUGGAAACAUUACAAGGAAAAAUAUGUGAAACUUUAUGCAAACUAGAGAAGAUAUUUCCUUUGGGUUUCUUUGACUCUAUGGAACAUUUGCCGAUUCAUUUACCUUACGGGGCCAAGGUUGGUGGACCCGUCCAGUAUCGAUGGAUGUAUCCAUUUGAGAGGUAAAAUAAUUGCUAUUUGUUUUCAUAUAUUUCUUUUGAAGAGUUUAAAGUACAUCAUAAGAUUGAUGAAUAUUGUGUUUAUUAGGUUUUUGCAACAGUUGAAGAAGAAAGUAAAAAAUCGUGCCUCUAUUGAAAGAUCUAUAUGUGAGGCUUAUGUUAUCGAGGAAGUUUCCUCGUUCUGCUCAUGGUAUUUUGAACCUGCUAUGCGAACAAGAGUAAAUAGAGUGCCACGUAAUGAUGAUGGGGGAGAGGUGGACUCUAUGGAUCGUCUUUCAAUUUUCACUCACCCGAGGUGAGCUUUUGGCCCAUCAGAUAAAUCUCGAUUUUUAGAUGAGGAUGAGUUUUAUGCUGCUGAGUUAUAUGUUUUAAUGAAUUGUGAAGAGAUGCUCUCAUAUAUAAAGUAAGUACCAUUACAUUUUUAACUUGAUAAUACCCUAUAAUAAGAUUGAAGUUAAUCACGUAGUCAUGGAUAUUAUGAUAGGAUAUUUGAUGAAAUUGUGAAGGGAGAUGUUGUGGGAAUUUCGAAAGACGAAUUGGAGAAAGUACGUGAUGCGAGAUUCGUUAAAUGGUUUAAAAAUUAUGUAAGUUUCCUUAACAUACAAGUGAACUUUUAAUUAAUCAUUGACGAAUAAAUUAUGUAAUUUAUUAUUUUAUUCUCUUGUAUCUCAUGUUCGUAGGUUGCAAAGCAUAAUGAGGAAAUAGACCAACGUAUAAUUGAAAUCUCUUAUGGUCUCGGACGUAUGAUAAGGUGUUAUAGUGGAUAUUUUGUAAAUGGUUUCAAGUUUCACACCUUAGAUUACAGCCAAAAUCGUAAGACAAUGAAUUGUGGGGUUUGCAUAAAAAGGAGUUUUUACAAUGAUCAUGAGCGUGACUUUUAUGGCAUCUUAGUAGAUAUAAUCGAGUUGGAGUAUUUUGGUAUAGGAAACAGAGUUGUUCUUUUCAAGUGUCAUUGGUUUGAUACUGAAAAAGGAAUAACGGUAGAUCGAUUGCAUGGUCUUGUUGAUGUGAAUUACAACUCAAUACUGGCUAGUAAUGAACCAUUUGUUUUAGCUGCCCAAACUCACCAAAUUUAUUAUAGUAGUUAUCCAUCAAGAAGAAGAGAUCAACGUGAUUGGUGGGCAGUAUUUAAGACAAAAGCUAGGAGUAUAUUUCAAAUUCCUAUUAGUGGUGAUAGAGAAAAUGAAAGUGAUUUGAAUGAAGGAGUAUACCAAGAAGAUGUGUCCAAUUCAAUUACUAGUACUCAAUCAGAAGAAGUUGAUUUAACAGAGUUAGCGAGUGGUGAUUAUGAAGAGGUUAAUCUAUCGAUUGAGGAUGAAGAAGAUCAUAUCGAUAAAGAUGAAGAUGAAGAAGAUGACAUGGAAGGAGAAGAUAAUGAAGAUGAUGAUAAAGAUGAAGAUGAAGAUGAAGAUCAUGUGGAGCACAAUGAUGGUGAAACUUAUAAUGAUGAUAGUGAUAAUAAUGUAGAAAAUGAGUUUGAUUAUUCAGGAAGUGAAUGAUGACGGUAGGCACGUAAGAUAUUGGUUUCAUAUUUUCUUUUGACGGUAGUGUUUGACUUUAAUUUUAUAAUAUUACAGUAUUUUGACAUGAUGUAAAAUUAUAACGUUUGCGUUAAAAUCAAUAUAUAAAUGUUGAAAUUAGUUAAUAUAUAAUUGCUGCUUUGCUUCUAAUAAUUAAGAAUUAACGGGUGUCAUUGUUGUGAAUUGAUGUUUUUUAUUCUGUUAUAAUAAUAAUCAUAUUAAUAAUAAUUGCUAAUGGGAUUUUAACAAUACAAUAUUGUAGGAACGAUGGUUAAAGGGAAGCAAUCAAAACUGAGACCUAAGUCUUCAUAUGCAUCGGCAACUAUGGUUGUGCCUACAAGUUCCCAAGCAUCUGAUGAUAUAUCCAUUCCACAACAGGUGCAGCAAGAGAAUAAUGAUGCGCCAUUUGAGACACAGUCUUUAUACGAUGCAUUUGCAGAGCAAGUAGAAAAUGAGACAUCUACACAUGAUAUUACAAGAUCCCCAUCUAUUGAUUUAGGUGGAAAUGCAAAUGAGACAUCGUCAAGAUCAAGAAGUAGGGGACCCAGUGUAGGAUUACAGACUCUUGUAGAUCCAUCGGACAGAUUGCGUAUAACUCCUAUUGGGGAUAGGUAUGUUAUCUUGUUAAACUUGUUAUAUUUUUUAAAGAAAUUUUUAAUUUUUUUAAUUUUAAUAUAUACAAUUAUUUGAAAUAUUUUAUAAGCACUUUUUUCGAGAGAGGGGUCACAUCUACAAUAACAAGGAUCAUCAAAAAUCACUUUAAUGGUCUAUGGUCGACAUGGAGGAAAGUCCCUAAUGAUAUAAAAGACUUAAUGUUUCGAAAAUUUCAGGUACUAUGUUUGUUAUUUAUUUAUUAUGCGUUUUUUUUCCAUUAAUUUGUAUAACUUUGUUAAAUUAUUGUAUUACAUUAUGUUGUAGGAAAAAUGUGUUUGGUCUGCACAUCAAGAUGUUUUAGUUCAACGCAUAUGGGAAAAAAUUUGUUUCGAUCGAUUAAGAGACAUGCUUUCAGAAGAAAGGCAUAAAGCAAUGAUUGAAGCCAAAACUAACAACAUUAUAGAAUGCAAAGGCAUGUCGAGGGAAUGGAUCACAAAUGAAAUAUGGGAUACCCUGAUCGAUACAGUAUGGGGUACAGAAGAGUGGCAAAAUAAAUUACGAAAAGUAAGGCAAAAUCGUUUAACGCCAAAAGAAGGAAUCAUUCCAAAGCACACUGGCGGUUCAGUUCCAUUUGUGGUUCAUGCAAAAAGGAUGGUAUGAAUUAAUGUUACUCAUAAUUAAUAUGUAUGUUUUCCCAUCAAUUUCAUUUAAAUUGUAAGUUUAGUAGUUGGAUUUCGGUUUUGCUUUACAUGUUAUAUAUAUCAGGAUAUAUAUAUAUCGAUUAUGAAUGACUAAAUAUAAUUGUUAAUAAAUUCAGGCAAUUGAACUGAAACGAGAUGUUACCUUCUUGGAAGUGUUCAACCAUACUCAUAAGCGCUCAAGGGGUCAUGGUGAUUUUAUUGAUAACAAGUCCAAGUCUACGAGUGUAAGUAAAAAUUCAUUAAUUUUUACUGUUUCUUCUAAGUUGAUGUUCUACUUCAAUAUUAAUCAUUAAUUAUGGUUUUUAUGUAGGAAAUGUAUAAUUCUGUAUUAUCGCAAAAGUAUGGUGAUGAUUCAUCUUCUCAGCCAAAAUUCGAUCCGCAUGCUUAGACUGAAGCAAUUGGAGGGAAGGAGACUACAGCACUCAAGUGUAUGGGUUUGGCACUCGUGUCCCUGCUACAGCUUUACUUACUGGAACACAAUCUAAUGCAGCAACAUCUGAGUCUGCGUGUGGCCCUAUCAACUCAAACUUUAACAGUCCUACAAAUGCAUUAGAAGAAAAAGUGAAAAAUCUUGCACAAAACUUGAAUAAGAUACGUGAGGAAAAACGUGAAGAAAUGAGAAAUGUGAUGGCGGAAGGCAUGAGUGAAUUUAUGGCACAUAUGGAAACCAUGUUCAUGAGUAGUGCGCGUUUAACCCUUGGCGAUGCAGGACCUUCGAGACUUGACAAGUAAGAGAAAAAAAAUUCCUUCACAUGAUGUAUAAUUUUCAGUGUAAACACUUGGAUACUUUUUAAUUUAGUUAUGUUUAAUAUUCAUAUGUAUCAAACUAUUUUAUAUAUUGUAUGUUAAGGAUAAUUUCUAAUUAGAUGUUAGGACUUGAAUCUCAAUUUUGUAAUGUGUAUUUCUUUUAUAUAUUUUACAGUUCGAAUGCGGAAUUAAAUUUAGUAUCGUAAUGAAAAUUGAUAAUUUUUUUUGAAAAUUUAUUAUAAAAAUAAUAGGUCAAAAUAUUUCCAAUAGAAAAUUUCGUUGGAAAUGCUAAAUGUUUUUCUGUUGGAAAUAAGAUUUCCAAUUGAAUUUCCUUUGGAAAUAAUUUUUCCAACGGAAAAAAUUUCGACUGAUUUUUCCGUUGGAAAUGGGAUUUCCAACAGGAAUUAUUCCUACUGUUUUUUCCGUUGGAAAUAGGCUUUCCAACAGAAAUUUCAUUAGAAAUUUUCAACGGAAUUAUUUUCCAACGGAUUUAUAAAAAAAAAGGUAAAAUUUUAAAUUUUCAACAGAUUUCCAACGGAAAGUAUUACCCACAAGGCUUGUACCGACAGAAUUUUUAACGAAAUUUUUCGUUGGAAAUCCAUUGGAAAUAAACAUUUCCAACAAAAAAAAGCCUAUUUCCAAUGGAAAAUUCCGUUGGAAAUAGCCAAAUUUUUUGUAGUGUAUAGUUAAGAAGGUUGAUAUUAAAAAGAGGAAAGACACUUGGUUAUUGGAUAGUGGCUAUUCAAACCAUAUAACCGGUUGCAAAGAAAACUCCAUCAGUCUAAAUGAGAGUUUUAGAAAUCAAAUGGAGAUUGGAAAUGGUGACAUGUUGCUAAUUUUUGGAACUAGUAUAGUGGGGGUACAACACCAAAUGGGACUAAAUCAAUGGCAAAUGUGUAUUUGGCUCCUGAUGUAAGCCGAAACUUACUCAAUGUAGGUCAACUGGUGGAUGAGGGCUUUGAGUUAACCUUUAAAGACAAAGUUUGCAUAGUCAAGGCCUCAGCUGGUGUAGAACUUUUCAUAGUGGGAAUGAAAAACAAAUGCUUUCCAUUAAAUUAGAUGGAUAUCAAACAUACUGCUUACAGCUGUAUUUUAGCUGAUACUGAGAUGUGGCAUAAAAGGUUUGGCCAUGUGAACUAUGGUUCACUCAAGUUGAUGGCUUUUUACAACUUAGUAGAAGGCUCCAGUGGUAUUUUUGUGGAUAACUUUAAGGCAAAGAUGCAAACAAAUUUUGAAAUGAGUGAUUUGAGGAAAAUGCCAUAUUUUCUUGGUAUGGAAAUAAAUCAAGGUUCUGAGUUAUACUCCUGCAUCAGAAAAAUUAUGCCUCUAAUUUGUUAAAAAGCUUUAAGAUGGAGAGUUGCAAGGCAGUAGCAACUCUUUUGGUUUUUGGUACUAAACUGAGCAAAGAUGAUGGUGGAGCUAAAGUUGAUGAAACUCGCAACAGAAGAUUGAUAGGAAGCUUAUUAUACUUAUCCUCCACAAGGCCAGAUAUCAUGUAUGCUACUAGCUUACUUUCAAGGUUCAUGCACAAGCCAUCUGAGAGCCAUUUGUGUGUUGCUAAAAGAGUUCUCAGGUAUGUCAAAGGAACUCUAAGUUUUGGCUUGAAAUUCUGUAAGAAUGAAAAUCAGAAGCUUCAAGGCUUUAGUGACAGUGAUUGGGGUGGAAGCUUGGAGGAAUCAAAAAGCACUUCUAGGUACUGUUUCUCAUUUGGCAUUGCAGUGUUUGCUUGGAAUUCUAAGAAACAAAGUAUAGUGGCAUAGUCCUUUGCAAAAGCAAAGUACACUACAAAAAAUUUGGCUAUUUCCAACGAAAUUCUCCAUUGAAAAUAGGCCUUUUUCCGUUGAAAAUGUUUAUUUCCAACGGAAAAUUCUGUUGGAAAUUCUGUCGGUACAAGGCCUGUGGGUAAUACUUUUCGUUGGAAAUCCAUGAGAAAUCCGUUGAAAAUUUGAAAAUUUACCUUUUUUUUUUAAAAUCCGUUGGACAUUUCCAAUGGAAAAAACAGUAGGAACAAUUCCUGUUGGAAAUAGAAUUUCCAACGAAAUUUUAGUUGGAAAUCCCAUUUCCAACGGAAAAAUCAAUAGGAAUUUUUUUCGUUGGAAAAAUUAUUUCCAACAGAAAAACAUUUAGCAUUUCCAACGGAAUUUUUUGUUGGAAAUAUUUUGACCUAUUAUUUUUAUAAUAAAUUUUCAGAAAAAAUUACCAGUUUUCAUUCCGAUACUAAAUUUAAUUUCGCAAUCGAACUGUAAAAUAUAUAAAAGAAAUACACAUUACAAAAUUGAGAUUCAAGUCCUAACAUCUAAUUAGAAAUUAUCCUUAACACACAAUAUAUAAAAUAGUUUGAUACAUAUGAAUAUUAAAUAUAACUAAAUUAAAAAGUAUCCAAGUGUUUGCACUGAAAAUUAUACAUCAUGUAAGGGAAUUUUUUUUUCUUACUUGUCAAGUCGUGAAGGUCCCGCAUCACCAAGGGUUGAAUGCUCAUUACUCAUGAACAUGGUUUCCAUACGUGCCAUAAAUUCACUCAUGCCUUCCGCCAUCACAUUUCUCAUUUCUUCACGUAUUUCCCCACGCAUUUCCUCAUGUAUCUUAUUCAAGUUUCGUGCAAGAUUUUCCACUUUUUCUUGCAAUGCAUUUGCGAGACUGUUAAAGUUUGAGUUGAUAGGGUCACACACAGACUCAUAUGUUGUUAAAGUUUGAGUUGAUAGGGCCACAAUCAAAGAAACAAGGUUUCCUACCAUGUUCCAAUAUGAAAGAUUUAGAAUGUUCCAUGAAAUAUGGACAUGAUAAUCGUCCAUGUGUACUCCAUCCUGACAACAUACCAUAAGCAGGAAAAUCAUUAAUUGUCCACAAUAAUGCUGCCCUCAACUGAAAAUUUUGUUUCCUAUAUGCAUCAUAGGUCAUAACACCUUCUCUCCACAAUAAAGUCAACUCAUCUAUCAAAGGCCUCAAGAACACAUCUAUAUUUUGACUUAGACUUUUCUUACCUAGAAUAACCAUGUUAAGAAAUAUAUAUUGUUGUUUCAUACACACCUAUGGGGGUAAAUUAUACACACAAAGCAUUACUGGCCAAACAGAAUAAGAAAUGGCAGUCGAUCCAAAAGGGUUGAAAUUGUCAGCACAUAACUCGAAUCUUACAUUUCGAGGUUCCAUUGCAAAGAAUUCAUGUGUGCGGUUGAAGUGUUGCCAAGCCUCACCAUCAACAGGGUGUCUAAGGAGUCCAUCAUCACUUGGGUGUUACGCAUGCCACGUCAUAUGUUUAUCAGUUUUACAUGACAUAUAAAACCUUUGAAGCCUCGGUAUAAGUGGCAAGUAACGCAAAAUCUUGUAAGGAAUUUUCUUCUGCCUUCUCACACUUGAAUUCCUCUGUUUAUACUGAGGAUGUCCACAUACCUGACAAUGCUCAAACGUAGCAAAUCGCUCAUAAAAUAACCUGUAAUUUUUCUUGCAAGCAUCAAUUUUUAUAUAUCCCAAACCAAGCUUUGCUACCUUCUUCUUCAUGCUAUAAAGUCAUAGGUAACUUCUCAUCAGAUGGCAACAUAUUCUUUAUUAUCUCCAAUAGUCAAUCAAAACAUGAUUCACUCAAAUUAUACUCCGCCUUAACAUUUAAAAGUUACGACACAACUGAAAGUGUUGUGUGCUUUGUGCAACCUACCCACAAAGGUUACUUUGCAUUGCUUAACAAAGAGUAAAAGGUAGAUGCAUUUGGAUUGGGAUAUUCUUCCACAAAGCUCGACUCAUUUUCAGAACCAUGGUUGAAAGCAACUUUGGUACGCAUAGCAUCCCUAACCAUUCUAGUAUAUGGAUUUUAUAUUUCAUCUUCAUAUGUAGGUUCUCGAAAAGCAGCAUCUUCCUCAAAUCUAAGGGAUGGUUCAACUCUAGAUCUACUUCUCGAUGAUUGUCCAACAUCAUCUUCCCCAUGUAAACUUCAAAUUGUGUAAGCCCUAGUAAAACCCCGAUUUAGUAUGUGUUCUGUGACUUUAUCUUUAUCUAAGAACUUGUUGUUACUACAUCGUGUGCAAGGACAUCAAAUUUUACUCUUCCACAUAAAUGUAGUCUUCAAAUAUGCAAAAUUAAUAAAUUCAGUAACUCCAUUUAUAAAUUCAGCUGUAAUGAAUCCAUUCUAUAAUCGACGGUACAUCCAAGAGCGAUCUCUCGACAUUUUGUAAUCUUAAGUGUCAUAGAAUAUCAUUAUCAAGACUAAUUUGUAUUGAUGGUAACAAAACAAUUUGUUAAACCCUACAUUUCAAUAUGUAUUUUAUAUAAAUAUAUUCAAAAUUAUAUUGUAAGAUGCAAAGUAGCCCUUAUAGUAUAAAUUAUUGCAUACAUGAAUUAUCAAAAAACCUAGGCAGAUGGUUUAUAUUUAUUUGCACAUUAAAUUGCUUUAAUUAGAGAUUCACACCUGUAUCCUAAAAUUGGUGACUGUACAUUAAGUUGAAUUGAAAUUAUAUAUACAUGAUGUCUACCCUUUCUUUUAAAUAUCAUUAACAGAUGUAGUUUCCAAUUUAUUACAAUUUUUAAAAAAUGUCAAAUUUUUCUAUUAUUUGAUACGGUUAUGACAAUUUUAUUUUGAAAUUUAAAUUUGGGCUAUAAAUUCAAGCGUUAUAUUAUAAGACUUAAAGUAAAAAUUGUAAUUAAGGCCUUAAUUUUAUUUGGGCUUAACAUAAAAUAUGUUAAUUGCUUUUUAUCCCAAUCGGCUAAUAAGAUAUUAGGCUAAUUGGCUAGAUGAUUCAAAUUGCAUUAAAAUAUAAUAAACAUCAUAUUUAUUUAUGUUUAUAAAUUAUUGAUAAAAAUUUUAACUAAAUUUAAUGCAAAUCAAAUAAUAUGUCAAAUACCAACAUUUAAAUAUGUCAAACGUUUAGGCUUGUAAUAGCAAAUCAAAUAAUUAAAACAGGGAUGGUUAGUUCUCAAAUACCAACAUUUAAUUGCUUAUCUAUGCAUCUUAGUCACCUGCAAAAUUAGACCAAAACCCAAUCUCGUUUUGAAGUAGACCGAACACUGCUUUUAUGCUUCCAGAGCCGACCUUAACCUUUGACUAAAAUUAAGGCAAUGAAAUGUUUAGGCUUCUAACCCUAAAUCAAAUAAUUAAAACACAAUAACAUCAUUAAAAAUACCUAGGUCGCAUCAAUUGAUAAACAAAUAUUGAUGAAAAUCAAUUAAACAAGGUAUACAAAAUUAACCCCUAGGGCUAGACUUGUGGAAGGGAUGGGACGGCGAGUAAGGCAGCACUAGGGGGACUAAAGCGACAAGGACAGAUUCAUUCAAAGAGUGUUUGGGUCAUGACGGCAAAGGUUCAAACCGAAGAAUAUGGCAGCAAGACGAUGGGGCCAAAGGUGACUGAGAGAGACCGAUUGCUGUUAAAAUAGGACAACGCCGUAACUGGAGUCAGGCCAUCGGCAAAGGGACAGCAUCGGGAACACCGUGGAAGUCGGGCAAAGGUUUUAGAGAAAGGGGAGAACGCCACAGGUAGAGAGAGAAAAUGGCAAUUCAAAAGUCGAGUUUGGGGAGAAAUUUGUGACUUUAUAGCUAGGGUUUUAUGGAUCAAAACUACGUCGUUUUGACGUAGGGUUAAAGGGAUCGAAUUUUGGCAGAACGGCGACGUAUUGGGCCAAAGGCAACUAAUAUUCAUUUUGGUUUAAUACCCAAUUAAGUUUGGGAGAUAAGUUUUAAGUAUGGGCUGGUGGAAGAAAUGGUUAUUUUUUAACUCUUUUAACAUGUGGGCAAAGGUUCAAGUCUUGACAAUAAUAGUACUUUUAGAUUUAUUUUAUUUUCGUUCAAAAAGUUUUUUUUUUAAUAUUACUCAAUAUAUGUAAUAGUCAUAUAUGACUAAAUUUUUUAUAUACAUAUAUAAUGAUCACAACUUAUAGGUUAUACAUUGAUAUGUAUUAACCAAAUUUGUAUAAUUAAUUAUCAAUAUGAUUUUUAUAAAAUGUAUGAUUUUAAUCCCAUUACGUUAAUAAUUAUAAUCAUCUAAAUGAAAUUUACUAUAAUCUUACAUAAAUUAUAUAGUAAUAAAUAUAUAUAUAUAUAUGUAGACCCUCAUUUAAUAUAUCUCAUAUAAUAAAAUGAAAUUUUUUAAGCACAAAUAUUAAUAAGUUUAUUAUAAAACUUCAAUCUUAAUUUCCAUAUAUUAGCUAAUUACAAUUAAAACGUAAAUAAUGUAAUAUAUAUUUUUUUAUAUGAUUUUUUUAUCUUAUCAUGGUUUUUAAUAAAAUAUAAAAUUUUACAUAGUUAUUUUUUAAAAUUUUGGAAUAAUAUAACAUUACCCUAAUUUGGUAUUAUAUUUCAAUAUUGUAUGAUUCAUUAAAGUUAAAAAAAAUUAUACAAAAUUACUCAACGGAAAACAUAUUUAAACUUUAAAAAAAUUAAAAUUUUACUUCAAUAACUAUGUAUUUGGUUUUAGUAAUAUCUAAUUUUCUAAAAAUAAUUAAAAAAAUUUAUAAAAAUUUUAAAUUUUAUAAUUGGAAAAAUUAUGAUUAUUUCCAAUGAAAUUUUCUAACGGAAAAUUCCGUUGGAAAGUUUAAAAAGUCAUAAAAGUUUUGAUGCAUUCAAAAGUUACUUUCCAACAGAAAAUUCCGUUGGAAAAGUUAAAGAUUACAUAGGAAAUGUUUAGGGUUCCAACGGAAAUUUCCAACGAAAAAUUUCAUUGGAAAUCCAUUAGAAAUAAUUAACAGUUAGACAUGUGUUCUAAAGAUGAAAUUUUCAACGGAAAAUUUCGUUGGAAACUAUCAAGAUUACACCCAUUUUUUUAAAAAAGUUUAAGGUUCCAACGGAAUUUUUCGUUGAAAAUUUCCAAUGAAAAUUUCUAUUGGAAAUCCAUUGGAAAUAUUAAACAUACCAUGUGUGUGUUGUACAAGCCAAAAUUCCAACAGAAUGUCCAACGGAAUUUUCGUUGAAAAUUUUUCAACGGAAAUUUCCAUUAGAAAUUCCGUUGGGAAUUUAAUUUUCCAACGGAUUUCCAACAAAAAUCCUGUUGGAAAAUUUCUAACAGAAAUCCGUUGGAAAUCUGUUGGAACUAGUAGAUAAAAAUUUUAAUUAAAUUCCAUUGAAAAUCCGUUAGAAAUACAAUGAUUUUUUGUAGUGAUAAAUAGGACUUCAUCCACUUCUGGCUCUUCAACAACAACAGCUUUCUCAUCAAUAUUUUUACCUUACUUUUGCACACUUUCUCCACAUGACCUUGCUGGUGACACCUCUUGCACUUAACAUUUGGUUGAAACCAGUAAAACUUCUCUGUAUGAUUCAUUUUUUUUUUUUUCAGUAUGUUUGAUAUCCAUCCAAUUUAAUGGAAAGCAUUUGUUCUUCAUUCCCACUGUGAAAAGUCUUGACUAUUCAAAGUUUGUCUUUGAAGGUUAACUCAAAGCCCUCAUCUGCUAGUUGACCUACAUUGAGUAAGUUUUGGCUUACAUCAGGAGCAAAAUACACAUUUGCCACUGAUUUAGUCCCAUUUGGUGUUUGUACCCCCACUAUACUAGUUCCAAAAAUUAGCAACAUGUCACCAUUUCCAAUCUCCAUUUGAGUUCUAACACUCUCAUUUAGACUGAUGAAGUUUUCUUUGCAACCGGUUAUAUGGUUUGAACAGCCACUAUCCAAUAACCAGGUGUCUUUCCUCUUUUUAAUAUCAACCUUCUUGACCAUAAAUAGGACUUCUUCAUCCACUUGAGGCUCUUCAACAACAGCAGCUUUCUCAUCAAUAUUGUUACCUUACUUUUGCACACUUUCUCCACAUGCCUUGCUAGUGACACCUCUUGCACUUAACAUUUGGUUGAAACUAGUAAAACUUCUCUGCAUGAUUCUUUUUUUUUUUUUUGCAAUGAAAGCAAGGUGGAAAUGACUUCUUACUUUUCCCAUGUCUCUUCUCAUCUAACUUUUUUUCCUUUAUCCUUUCUGUCAAUUUCAUUCUUCUAAGAAUUACUACUACCAAGUUUUACACUUUUUGAUUACACUACCAAGGCAUUCUCAAUAAGACCUUUUUGCCUAAAGGCUCUCCUCUGCUCUAAGCCUUUUAGUGCAUUUACCAAUUCCUUAAAGGUCAUCUGACUAAUGUCCCUACAGUCAUAUAAUGAUGAGAUUUUAGACUCAUACUUCUUUGGUAAUCCUAUCAGCAUCUUACACUCUAAUCUUUCCUCAUCCAUCUCUUUCCCAAGCAACCUACACAGGUUUACAAUCCCUAUCAUCUUCCUAGAAAAUUCCCUAAUAGUUUCAUUAUCAUCCAUUGACAGCAUCUCAAAUUGCCAAGACAAAUUUAAGGCCUGGAUUUUUCUAGUUUUAUCGCUACUACGAAAUUUCUCUUUUAAAUGAUCCCAAACAUCUUUUGGGUUAUCUCAAUUCAUUAUCCUAGAAAAUAUUUCAUCAGAAACUGUCGAUUGUAAAUAAGAAAGUGCCUUAUAUCUUUUUUCCUUGUCUUCUUCAAAUUGCCUUAUCUGAGCUAGAGUUGGGUUGGCAUGCCUUUAAAUAGCUUCUGCUCCGGUCUCCACCACUUUUCAGAGAGAAAAAGCUUUGAGAUAAGACUACAUUUUCACUGACCAAAAAACAUAAUUUUCUUCAAUAAAGACUAGAGGAGUAGUAGUGCUAAACCUUGAGGUAACCAUGAAUCAAAACCUUAAAAUAAAGCUGGAAACUAAACAUGAGUGGAAAAAACAAAAGGAAAACCGGCCCCUUAAGACACUUUUUGCUAUGACAUCAUGUAAAAACUUUGAUUAAGCUCAAUUAAUAAGCAUAAGAAUGAAGAAUAGAGGAGCUGAAAGAAGAAAAUUGGGAUAAAGAAAAUUGGAGAUCAAAACUCUAUAAACAAACCAAGCCGAAAAACUCGACAUUGGGGAAAUGAAACUUAAAAGAGAAAAUAGCUAAGCACAGGAAUCCAGACAAGGAUUCCUGUGCACUACAAUGGCCUUCAACGACUAAGAGAAAAGUAAAGCAAAGAAAUAAAAUGUGGCUUUUCAGCCUUACUUUCAGUCAAAUAAAACGACACUAACAAGAGGCGUUUAAGCCAUCAAAUCUAAAGUCCAAAACGACAGCUUACUAAGUGUUUCAUUAAACUAUGAAUCAUAACGACACCGUUUAGAACUUUCUUCUUCCCUUCAACGGUCAGUUGACCUUGGUGCCCUGAUACUUCUUUAAAUUCACCAUUUAAAAUCAUUGGAUUCUCAACAAAUCUUCCAUUGAAGUCCUUUGAACAUUGUACAAAGUCAUCAAACCCUUGAAACUUUUAAGAUAUGUUGUUGGCAGAAGCCCAAAGAACUCAUUGUUGGAGAGGUCUAAGAUUCGCAGAGCUGAGAAGUGCGAUUCAUUUUCUGAAGGGUUUAUUUGACCAUGGAAAUAGUUGGAGCGCAAGACAAGAACUUGUAGCUGAGGAAGAGUUCCCAACCAGUAGGGAAAGGUAUCAUUCAUCUUGUUGUUUCCAAGAUUUAACACUUCCAAAUCAUGACAGUUCACCAAGGAUUUAGGAAAUGGCCCGCCAAAAUCAUUGUUGUUGAGGUUAAGCAUCGGUAAUUUGUUGUUGGCAACAAACGAAUUAGGGAUAUUUCCAUGAAAUUUAUUCGUGUGCAAAUCCAGGACAUUAAGAUUAGACCUGAUAUCUCCCAAGACCAGACAUUCUAGAAUAGCUCGACUCAAGUUGUUAUUAAACAAGUCAAGAACUGAAAUUGACAUCAAAUUGCAUAUUGCAGAUGGAAUUUCUCCAAUCAAUUUCUUUUUGAGAUUAAGAAAAUUACCAGCCUUAAAUGUUGCUGUUUGAAAGGUCUAAUUAUUCCAAACUCUCUUGAAUUAUCAAAAAAUUUGAAAAUUCAGUUACAUUGCAAGAAGACAACGAUAAAAACUAAGAUUAGGCAAGACAAAUCUAGCGUUGCUAUUAUUGCUCAGGGAUAGUGGAAUGUUAUGUGAAAGAACAAGUGAAUCAAGGCUUUGAAGCUUUAAAAACAUAGUUGCCUCGAUGACACGGAUUUUAUUGUAAGAAAGGUUUAGAUAGAUCAAACCUUCGAGAUUUCUUACAAAAUUCGGAAAUUCACUUAUGUUGCAAGAAGAUAAUUCUAAUUUGGGCAAGGAGUUAUACGCAUUGCUUCCACUGGUCAAUGACAGUAAAGCAUUAUUUGAGACAGAUAGAGCCCAAAGAUACUUAAGCUUUGAUAGUUUAUCGAAUUUAAAAAUGCCAUCCAACUUAUUUGAGGAAAGAUCAAGAUGGGUAAUGUUCACAAGUUUGAAAAUAGAGCUUGGAAUUGGACCAUUCAUCUCAUUAUUCUGCAGGGAAACAAUCUCCAAGGAAGCAACCUUCUCAAAUGGGUCAAUAGGACCAAUUAGGUUGUUAUAACUGAGAUCCAAAUCAACCAAAGUUGGAAGAGUAAACAACCAAUUUGGUACUCUACCAUAGAGAAAGUUAUGGUCCAAGUGUAGUCUCAAUAGUAUUAUUAGUUUUUGUUUAAUAUAUUAUUAGAUUUUAUAAUCUAUUUUUAAAAAAUUAAAAAAAAAAUUAUUAUGCUAUUUUUAUAAACUUUUUAAUUUUAUAACAUUAAUGAAUUUUGAACAAUUAAUUUAUAAUUUAUGAUUCAAUAAAGUUUUUAAAAUAUAUAAAAAAUAAUAAGCAAAGAAAAACAUAUUUAAAUUUUUAAUAUUAUAAAUCUCAGUAUGUACAUAUUUAAUAUUAUUAAUAUAUUUCCUAUAAAGGAUUAAUAAAAUUUUAAAUAAAAAAAGUUAAAAAAAAAUCAGCCNAAUGAAUUUUGAACAAUUAAUUUAUAAUUUAUGAUUCAAUAAAGUUUUUAAAAUAUAUAAAAAAUAAUAAGCAAAGAAAAACAUAUUUAAAUUUUUAAUAUUAUAAAUCUCAGUAUGUACAUAUUUAAUAUUAUUAAUAUAUUUCCUAUAAAGGAUUAAUAAAAUUUUAAAUAAAAAAUUAAAAAAAAUAGUAAUACCGAUAGAAUUCUCCAACAGAAUAUUCUGUUGGAAAAUUUUCGUUGGUAAUGGCUUAUUCCAAUGAAAAAUUUCAUUGGAAAAUUUAGCAAGCUUUAAAUUUUUCUUGGCCCCUUAAACUUUUUGACGGAUUUCCAAUGGAAAGUUUGACAGAAGUAAAUUUUUUUGGCACCCAACAAAUUAUUUUUUAUUGAAAAAUUUCAACAAAAAUCCAUUGGAAAGUUUGGCAGGAGUUUUUUUUUUUUUUGCUCCAAAAAAAAUUUCGUCGGAUUUCCAACAGAAUAUUUCUAUUGAAAAUCCAUUGAAAAUAUGUUAGAAAAAAUGCAAAUAAAUUUCUAUUAGAAAUAUAUUGGAAAUUUUCAACGGAAAUUUUUCGUCGGAAAAAAUCAGUUUUCUUGUAGUUUAGCAAUGAAUUUCUCCAUUGAGAAAAAGAAACAUAAUAUUUUGAAUUUCCUCGGUGAUUAAAGGUCAUUUUGAAGGCUUUUCACUAUUAUGGUCACAUGUUUCAGCAGUUCUUGUGUCAUUUGCUUGGUUGUUAAAUUCAGAACAAAAUGAUCCACAAUGCUUUUACUCAAUUUUAAAAAUACAAAUUGAUUGAUUGAUGGUAUUAAUGCAUUUUAUAAUUUAUUUUUUACAUUAAUUUUAAAUUGAAAAUAUUUUAUCAAUAAUAAAUAUAAAAAAUAAUUUAUAUUUGAUGCACCAACAGUAUAUUAGUUAACCACAAAAUGACACAUCAUCACUAAGUUAAAAUUCAUUAAGCCCUUAAAAAUAAAUGUAAAUAAUUUAUAACAUUUAAUUGUAUAAAAACUGAAAUAAGUUUUCUUGCUCUUGGAACUCUAUCUUGACAUUAAAAAAAAAAAAAACUCUCUCUCACUGAUUCUUUCAUUUUGAAUUUAGAUUCAAGAAAUAGUAAUACAUGAACAACAGAGUUGUUAGAGCUCUGAACAAAUGCCCAUGGACUACAAGUACAAGACCGUAACUGCUCAUUCCAUCAUCAAGAGAGUUCUUGAGAUUGUGUUGUAUCCUGCAAAGCAAAUAUUGCAGGCGGUUUCCAAGUUUCAAACCUUAGCUUUCUCCUUCUCUUUAUCCCUCCACGUUCUGUUGUGCUUCCAUUGUCACUGAUUUCUUUCAAGUGAUGAUAUGCUUUUAACUAAACCAAGAUACUUGGUAAUUCUGAUAUGUCGCAUCCCCUUGAUAACUGAAUCCACUUCAUGUGGUAAGUGCAUCAUGACUCAGGUUAGAAGGAUGCAUUGACUAGCAAAUUGGUUUAUGGUCAUGUGUUCGGAAUUCCAAUCACUGUUGUUUUGUAUUGUUAUUUGUCAAAUCUGGAUUGUUUUUGAGAGAAUCAUUAAGAAAGUUAGAGAAAAACUUAUUAAACUUUUAAUAUAAUUAAAUGCUAUAAAUUAUUGAUAUUUAUUCUUAAGGACCUAAUAAGUUUUAAUUUUAUUUAUUAAUGAUGUAUCAUUUUGUGGUUUACUAAUAGUGUAUAGCUUGCAUAAUGUGCAUCAAAUAAAAACCCCAGAAAAAAAUACAAAAAUAAAAAAUUGGAUAAAAAGGGAGAAAAUCAUGUUUGGUGUAUUACAAUUUGAAGUGAAUUAAAUUUACCCUCUGAAAUUUUAAAUGUAACACUUACCUAUCUUAUGAUUUUUCACAUCACUUAGUUUUUCUACCUUCAUUGCCAUUCAUCAUAGCUAUCAUAUUUUCGAUCACCCUGAUUGGUAAUGUACCACUAAAGUCAUUGGUGGAGAUGUCACAAAUUCUCAAGCUGGAGAAGGAGUGCUCAAUCCUGAAAUUGCUUGUGAAGCAAUGGAGGGAAUUAGACCUUAAAACAACAACUUGUAAUUCUUUUAGCAUUUCUUGCCAAGCAGGGUAUGUAUCAUUUAGCUUGUUGUUGCCAAGAUCCAAAAGCUUCCAAGUUCCUACAUUUCGUGGAAGACUCUGGCAGUGGCCCUUCCAAUUAAUUACCAUUCAAGUUGGGAUCCCCUAAUUCACAGCCUUCGGGAAAUGUUGGGAGGAAUGCUGCAAUAAAGCCUAUUCAUUCGUAAAUUCAACACUCUGAGGCUUUUGCUUAAAUUUCUAAAACAUUGUGGAAUGGUUCCAUUGAAAUGGUUAUGAGAAAAAUCGAGAACCUGUAGAUUACUUAUACUGCAUGGCAAAGAAGAUAUUUUUGCACUAAAACUAUCGUUUGAGACUGCCAAAAAAUUAAUCGAGCGUGGAAUUGAAAGGGCUCCCUGAAUUUUUAUUAUUUUCUCAUAUUUAAUUACUCUUAGAUUGUGAAGUUCUUUCUGAUUAAACUAAUUUUUUCAGAAUCUCUUAAAUCAUAAAGAAGAAGGCCUUGAAUAAUUUUGUCCAGUCUCUAGAUCACUCCUGACCUUAGUACCAAUGGUUCUAAAGUCAAAGUAUAUACACAGAAAAUUUUGAUUUUUCUCUCCUGGUUUGCAUUGUUCUAUUUGCUUUGCCUUUACCUAACACAUGCAUGGAAUUGCCUGUGUUAGAACAAGCAAAAUUCUCAAGCAUGACCUAUUUUGUGGAAAUUCGGCUUUAUGUUUAAAGAAAUUCUAUUUUUACAUUCAUCUUCUAUGAUUUACUUGCUUACAAGUUCUUUCUUUGGAUAACUUGCUGAAAGAAUUCAACUUUAAAUUGGAAUCUUAUAACUUCAGUAACACGCUUACAGGUUCUUUCUUUGGAUAAGCGAGUAAUUUCAUUCAUCAAAGUACAUAAACAUGUUACAAGUUCACAGGUGACAGUACCCUCAGGAAUCAAGACAGUCAAAACAAACAAGGAGAAAACUGCUAAAGAAUCCAAGCCCUGAGAAAAAAAAAAAAAAAAAUAGUUAUUCCUCAAAAAUUUCUUCAACAAACCUCCAAAGAGCAGCAUCUGUCUUCAUAGAUUCUUCUUCUUCAAUGAUAUCUCUUCAAUCUCCUCAGAAUUUUGUAGCCUAGUUUUUGAACCAUCCUAACAAGCCAUUCUGGUUUUCUAAUCGUCAACAUGAUAUAUCCUGCAGAUAAUCCAAGCACCAACCCGCAUCCAUAGCCCAUCAUUACAAAUUUCCAAUUCAAUGGACAAGGAAAAAUUCCUUCCUCAUGAAAAACAGAUUCCGGUGGUUCUUGUUCCUCAUCCUUGCCACACCUCUUUGACACUGGAAAUCCGCACAAUCCCAAGUUGCCACCAUAGUAAUCAUUCAGAAAGGUAUUGAAUUGAUUUCCCUGAGGUAUAUGUCCAACAAGCUGGUUCUGUGACAGGUUUAACACUUCAAGAAAUAUCAAACCAAUCAACUGCAUAGGAAUCUCCCCGACAAGCUUGUUGGAAGAGAGAUCCAGUGACUCAAGCGCUGCUAGAUUCCCCAAUGAGGAAGGAAUAUGACCUGUUAGGCUGUUAUGGGAAAAAUUGAGCACUUGGAGAGAAAUGAGGUCUCCAACUAUUUCUGGAAUUUUUCCUAGGAAUUUGUUGCUUGACAUAUCAAUGGUUGUAAAAAGAGUUAGAAUUCUCUUGAGUUCCACGUCCAAAUUUUUCACUCUGACACGCACUGAAAAAUUGUAAUAAAGAUUAAAAUCUUCCAUGGAUUUCGUUUGAACAUUGGACAAAUUCAUCAUACCCUCGAAACUUUUAAAAUAUGUUGUUGGUAGAAAACCAGAGAACUCGUUGUUGGAGAGGUCUAAGAUUCGCAGAGCUGAGAAGUGCGAUUCAUUCUCUGAAGGCCUGAUUUGACCAUGGAAAUAGUUGGAGCGCAAGACAAGAACUUGUAGCUGAGGAAGAGUUCCCAACCAGUGGGGAAAGGUAUCAUUUAUCUUGUUGUUUCCAAGAUUUAACACUUGCAAAUCACGACAGUUCUCCAAGGAUUUAGGAAAUGGCCCAUCAAAAUCAUUGUUGUUGAGGUUAAGUAUCUGUAAGUUGUUUCCUACAACAAACGAAUCAGGGAGUUUCCAUCAAUGGUUGUAAAAAGAGUUAGAAUUCUCUCAAGUUCAAUGUCAAAACCUUUCACUGUGACACGCACGGAAAAAAUGGUAAUAAAGAUUAAAAUCUUCCAUAGAUUUCCUUAGAACAUUGGACAAAUUCAUCAUACCCCUAAAAUUUUUAAAAUAUGUUGUUGGUAAAAAACCAGAGAACUCAUUGUGGGAGAGGUCUAAGAUUCCCAGAGCUGGGAAGUGCGAUUCAUUCUCUGAAGGCCUGAUUUGACCAUGGAAAUAGUUGGAGCGCAAGACAAGAACUUCUAGCCGAGGAAGAGUUCCCAACCAGUGGGGAAAGGUAUCAUUUAUCUUGUUGUUUCCAAGAUUUAACACUUGCAAAUCAUGACAGUUCUCCAGUGAUUUAGGAAGUGGCCAGUCAAAAUCAUUGUUGUUGAGGUUAAGUAUCUGUAAUUUGUUUCCUACAACAAACGAAUCAGGGAUGUUUCCAUGAAAUUUAUUCGUGUGCAAAUCUAGGACUGUAAGAUUAGGGAUCUUACCUCUCGAGAUCAGACAAUCUGGAAUAGCUCCACUCAACUUGUUAUUGGACAAGUCAAGAAUUGAAAUUGACAUCAAAUUACAUAUGGAAGAAGGAAUUUCUCCAAUCAAGUUAUUUUUUGAGGUUAAGAAAACUUCCAGGGAAGAAUUGGAAGAGAAACUAGAUAAUGAGCAAUCAACUUUAAAGUUCAAGGACAAGAGGAGGAAAGAAAGGACCAAAUACCAUUGUAUGAACCCUUUCAUUUUUCUUUUCUCAGAAAUGAUGAAAGAAGCAAAAUGGAAAGCUGAAUGUGAAGGCUGAGAGAGAUAAGAGUGGAGCCAUAUUUAUACACAUGAUUUCAAGCAAACAACCACCAGUCAUGUUCAGACAUUCAAACAACCAAUUUUUUUUUGGGAAGUCAAACAACCAUUUUUAUUAUUGAUAUUUUUUAAAAGAAAAUUAUUUCAUACAUUGUUAAUUUGUAAAUUUCAUCAACUAAAUUAAUUAGAUUGUCACAUACUUCAAUAUUAAAAUAUAUUUAAAAAAUUAAUAAUUUAAUACAAUACAUAAAAAAUAUGUAACAAUAUUUUAACUUUAAGUUAGAAACAUGGGGACUAUUGUUUUUUUGGUAACCCCCACUGGUUCAAUUCAAGUAACCAAAAAACUUAUCUCUCGUAAUUAUUAAUAUCAUAAAUAUUGUUUACGAUAUUUUAUUGUAGCCUUAGAAUUCAAGCCAUCAAAGAAUCAGCGAAGAGUGCAAUAAACUUUUUGUCAGAUAUGAAGUUUUUUAAAAACUUCUUAUGCCAUUAAUCAGAUAUUAAUUUAAAAACAAAAUGAUCUUGAUAAGCUCAACUAGAAAGUCCAUAGUGCUUUCCAAAUUAGAAGCCAUCGUCUACCUCCUCAAGCAUACUCAACAUGCCAACCCCACAUAUCGUGAAACAUGCUGUCCUUCGGACAUAUUUUAAGCUUUAAAAUAGAUACAAAUUUGGCACCUUCAUUGCACUUUGAUUCAAACUGAUAGGUUUGUUUACGAUGUCAGUGACAAACUUAUAUGUAUAUUCUCAAAGCUUCAUGAAUUUGAUUAUUAAAGAAAAAAAAGAUGAUCAUGAUCCAAUAUCUCAAUUUUAUGAAAUCUAAUUUUGAAGAAAGAAAUUUCAAACCCAGUUCUUUAUUUGUUAUCUUCGUCGAAUACUUACCCAAGUGCAAAGGCUUAUCGUUAGUAUUCACAUCUUCCUAGUCAAAUAGUUCAAUUCAAGUCCUCUCUUUUCUCACAUCCAAGGGAAAAUCAAAGAGAAUUUCCGUAGUUUUAACGGAAAAGAAAAGAACAGGAAAGAACAAAGUCAAGUCUUUUUGCAGUGCCUUCCUUCCGUGUUAAAUUAUAGUGUAAUUUACAAUUGAGACCUCCAUUGCUACAAAAUUUAUAGUAUAAUUUAACAUGUAAGUGUUCAACUAGUCAAAAAGCAAAUGAAUAAUAUAUCCAUGAACAUCAUGCUUUCAUAGGAAAACAUUAUAGUCAUGAUUCUUGUGAAGGCACCGUGUUGACUUGGGAAGAAGUUAGAAUUUGUAGCAUUCUGUCCGCAUCAUGGAAUUAAAUCUGGGGUCAUUGCAUGGAUAAUACACAGCAAGAAUUCCAUUUCUCUCAUUUCGGUUGCUUCAGAUUUCACUUCUCUAAAAAAAUCUCAUCAUUUUUUUAUAAUUCCCAAUGUCACAUGCAAGUCAAUCUAAAUUAGCAGAGGUUGAAAAUAUUGUUGCAUUAUAUAUGGCUGGAAUCUAAAUUAGAAAUGUCAAAUCUACCAAUUCCCGAGGUAUCUUGCCAAUAAGCUUGUUCAAUGAGAAAUCUAACCAUUCAAGAUUGGUCAAGUUUCCAAUGGAUGGUGGAAUAUGACCAAAGAAGUUGUUAUGAGAAAGAUUAAACACUAUGAGUGAAUUAAGCUUUCCUAUAACUUCUGGAAUCACGCCCUGGAAGUAGUUAUUGGAGAGAUCAAUGCUUGUGAAUAUGGUUAAAACUUUCACCAAUUCAACCUCUUGUCCUUUUAUUGUCAGAACUACCGAAUAAUCAUAUGACGACUUCCUUCCACAUAUUUUGAAGAACUUCUGCUGUCAGUGAGAUUCGUCAUAGCUUUUAGAUUUUCAAUGUAACAAGUGGGAAAAGGACCAACAAAAUCAUUGUUAGAGAGGUCUAAGACUCGUAGCUUGGGGAAAAGUAGUCUUGCUCUGGAAUUAUUUGCAACACCAUGGAAUUUAUUUGAACUCGAACCAAGCACUUGCAGCAUUGGAAGAGUUUCCAACCAAUUGGGAAAUGUACCCGUGAACUUGUUCUUGCCAAGGUCUAGAACCUAAAGGUUCCUACAAUUGGCCAAAGAUCUUGGUAACAACCCUUCCAUUUGGUUCCCAUGGAAGUUUAGAUUCUCUAAGCUACAGGGUUCCACAAUUGAUUUGGGGAUGGUUCCAUGAAAAUUAUUUGCCCUCAGAUCCUACGCUAAACGAUUUUUACUAAAGUUAAGAAGACAACUAGAAAUCUUGCCACUCAAGUUGUUAUGUGAUACAUCAAUAAUUUUCAGGGAACUGACCAUGCAAAUGAAAGAAGGAAUCUCCCCCGUCAUGUAAUUGUUCGCGAUGGAAAAGAAAGAUAUCUGAACGGGUGGAAUUGGAAGCACUCCUUGAAACAGGUUAGAUUGGAGGUAGAGAAUUACAGCAUUCCUCCAUGUUAAUUGCAAAUGACCUGUUAGAAAAUUAUGAUCAAGGUAUAAAUGUAACAAAGAUUCCUUCCCCACAUUCCACAUCCAUUUGGGAAUCUUGCCUUGAAUUCUAUUUUUGGAAAGGUCUAAAAACUUCAACGCUUUUGAACCUCUCAAGAAAUUGGGGAAUUCACUCAAGUUACAAGACGACAAUGACAAGGACUGGAGUUUGGUCCAUGUGUAGUCGACAUGAUUCUCUGAGCUCAAUGACAGACUAUUAAGAGAAAGAUCGAGUGAUUCAAGAUUUUGGAGCUGGGAAAACAUGUCUAACUCAACAAUGCCACUAAAGUUAUUUAAUGAUAGAUCAAGCACGGUGAGGUUUACAAGUUGAAAGAUUGAGCUUGGAAUAUGACCCUGCAACGUGUUAUUUUUUAAAUAGAUUAUGGACAAAGAUUUUGACCGGAAUUCGCUAAUAUGACCGGUGAGUCUAUUAUUGGCAAGAGACAAUAACUGUAAUGAAGGUAACUUAAACACCCAAGGUGGUAUAGUUGCAUUAAGUAAGUUAGAAGGCAAGAAUAAAGUUACUAAUUUUGAAAACCCAUUUGCAUAAUGAGGAAUAGUGCCCUCUAGUUCAUUGUAUGACAAUUCUAAAUGUUGAAGCUAUGUGAGGUUUGCAAGUGAUGCUGGGAUCCAUCCACUAAACUUAUUAUCCGAGAGCUCUAAGGAAACAAUUUGUGAAAAGUUUACAAGUGAUACCGGGAUUGACCCAUUCAAGUCACAAUUAGCAACAUUUAAAGAUUUCAAUGACUUCAAACCCCUGAUUGAAUCAGACAAUUCUCCAACAAGAAUAGUCUGUUUAAGCCUAAGACUUCAAGGGUAUUAGUCCCAUUGGACUUUGGAAGAUAAACCAGAAGAUCAGGGUUGUUACCUAAUUUGAGCAACUUCAGAUUUGGAAAUUGAAAAAUUAUGUCCGAAAUUGUCCCAUUUAAUCCACAAUCAUCCAGACUAAGAGAUGUCAAAGAGGAAGAAAGGUUCACUAAGUGAACAGGGUCAACUGAACACAUGUCUAUUCCAGGAAGGAAAAGUUCUUUUACCUCGCUAAAGUUCUUAGCUAACCUUUUCAGAGUUGUUGUUUCAAGCUUCAGUGCAUGAAACGGCUCUUGUUCACCGACACCAGGCAGACUGAACCUAGACAGAUCAAGUGAAACUAGCUUGGAAAGAUGUGAGAUUUCGGAUGGAACUUGGCCUGAAAAAAAUGAAGUAGAGAGGUUAAGAUGUGUUAAAUUUGGGAACUGACCAAACCUAGCUGAAAUCUUGGAUUGCCCGAAAUUGUUAAAUGCGAGAUUGAGCCUCUUCAAGUGUUGAAGGAGGAAAAGAGUGCUGUUGGAAGGAAUGGUACCAUAAAGCCAACUGCAACUAAGAUCAAGGCCAAUCACAUGACCUGUAACGCCAUCGCAAGUGACUUCAUCCCAUAAACAGAAAUCUGAAUCUUCCUUCCAUGAGUCUGUCUUAGGAAAAGAAUACGUAGGACUGCCAUAAUUUGAAUUGCAAAGUAACGAAGCAGUAUGAUCAAUAAAGAGGGUCUGCUUGAAGAGAAGCAAAGCCUGACCCUCAUUGUGAGACCAUGAUGGCCUUUGCUUUGAAGAAGUAAAACAAGACGAAAUGUAAGCUUGAGAAUACAAGUAAAAAAAGAGGAAUGAGAUGAAUUGAUAACUCCCAAGAAAACACCUCAUUUUUCCCUACGUCAAAGUUCCUAUAAACUCUUGAUUUGGUUGAUGAGGAGACGCACAGAAGUAUUUAUAAACUCAGUAGCAAGAGCAAUUCUUAAUUUUCUGUUUUCUCAAUCAUAUUUUCCGCUGAAGAGUGACGGAUGAGCUAACACACGCAGAAGACUAACAACAGAUUCUACAUUAUUACAAUAGGGAAGACUCAAAUGAGAAAUGAUGUCAAGUUAUGAAAUCCUGAAAUAAUGGGGGAGGUAGCAACACAGAUUUUCUCGGAAGAUUCAAAUUUCAAUUCCCUCUUUUCACAUUACAAUUCCCUUUCAGGUUGGAUUUGGUUUGGUCACCUCUAAGAAAGCUUGAAUUGCUGCAUAUGGAAAGCAAGCAUGAAAGGGUUUUUCUCGUCAAGUAAUCUACAAUUAUUCCAACUUCCAUGUUUAAAUCUUAUAGGCUUGUUCAAAUUUAAGUACAAAGCUUAUUUUUCUUUCGAUGAGUAUAAAAUCCAAUUUAUUAAUUUGGCUCAAGGUCAAUCAGUUAAUUGGGUUUAAAGCCUCCAAUGCUAAUUGGGUUAAAUGGGUCAGUUGCAUCUCGACUUGACAAGUCCACAUUAAAAAACGAAAAUAAAUACAUAAAAAAUUAAAACAUAAUAAAAUGCAAAAAAUAAAAAACGCUAAUAAAAACAUAAUGAAAAAAACAAAAAAGAGAGAAAAAUGGCAGUUGUUAUACCAAAUAAGAAAUGAAAAUGAAUGAAAGGUUUAAAAUUGCACCCCUUCUUAUAAGAUAUCAAUUCAUAAAAAUUUUCAAGAAAAUGAGAAUUAAUGUUAAAUCUAAAAAAAAGUUCUCAAUAUUUAAGCAAUAAUAGUAAAAGAAAGUUAAAAUAAUUAAAUAUGAAAUUAAAAAUAAUUUGUCAAAGGUUAAAAUAGAAUAACACAUGAUUUACCAAUAUUGUUCUUUAAACAAGUGUCGGUAAUACUUUCAUUAUACGUAAUUGUAUUGUCCAAUUCUAAAACUAUUUCGUAAAUCGGAUUUUAUUUUUUAAAUAAACUUAAAUCAAGUUUAAAAUCUCAUUAGAAAAAAUAAAUUCAAAUAAGUGGUCAAUUACACUUAAAUAAAAAUAAUUAAUAGUGAAUCUUUUUUACCUAAAGCGAUCGGUGCCUAGACUCAUACAAUGCAAUUUAUAUCUAUCACAGUAAAAUCAACACAAAGGACAAAUUGGUCAGCCACUAUUCAAUUAAAUAAUUCUGAAAUUUCCAGGAGACAAUGACUAAUCUAACAAGUGGUAAAUUGAGUUGCCCUUAAACCCACUUGAAAGUGGGAAGCCCAAUCCCAAGUCUUGCAACAAUUUCAUCUUCAAACACAAAUGAUGGAAUUCUGGCAUAACUCAUACAAAUAAAAGAAAAAAUCAAUUAACCUGGGGAAAUCUUCUCGAUGGUAAAAAAUGGGUCAUUUAUUUGUUCUAAUUGCAGGUUCAGUACAUUCUUCAAAUUAAAAAUCUCCAUUUGUCAUGCAACCCAAUGUUAAUGGUAUUCUUUAUUUUCCAUAAAAUUUAAACUUAUCACUCUAUUUAAAUUAAUCACUCAUUGUUCAAUAAGUGUAAUUUUAUCGUAUACUACCAUAUAAUACUUUUUAAUUUGAUUUAUAUAUGAUAAAAAAUUAAAAUAUUUUUCAGAUUAUUCUUUUUUUUCCUCUCGAAAUAUUUUUUUAAUGGUUAACUUUUGAUCUUUUUUUUUUAACUAAAUUAAAAUGUAAAACUGAUAAAAUUAUACUCUUUUAAAAACAAAUGAAAAUUUUGAUUUUUCUCUCCUGGUUUGCAUUUUUUCUAUCUGCUUUCCUUCUACUUAACACAAGCAUGGAAUUGCCUGUGUUGUAACAAGCAGAAUUCUCAAGCAUGACCUGGUUUGUGGAAAUUCAACUCUAUGUUUAAGAAACUCUAUUUUUACAUUCAUCAUCUAUGAUUAACAUGCUUACAAGUUCUUUCUUGUAUAAGCGAGUAAUUUCAUUCAUCAAAGUAUAUGAACAUCCUUCAAGUACAACAAAGCUGUUCACAGAGGACAGUACCUUUAGGAAACAAGAAAGUCAAAACAAACAGGGAGAAAACUGCUAAAACAACCCAAGCAUGAGAACAAAAGACACUUAUUAUACAAAAAUGUAUUCAAGAAAUCUCCAGAGAGCAUCAUCUGUCUUCACAGAGUUCUUCUUCUUCAAUCAUAUCUCUUCAAUCUCCUCAGAAUUUUGUAGCCUACUCUUUGAACCAUCCUAACAAGCCAUUCUGGUUUUCCAAUUGUCAAUAUGAUAUAUCCUGCGGAUAAUCCAAGCACCAAUCCACAUCCAUAACCCAUCAUUACAAAUUUCCAGUCCGAUGGAGAAGAAAAAAUUCCUUCCUCGUGAAAAACAGAUUCUGGUGGCUCUUGUGUGUCUUCCUUGCCACACGUCUUUGACACUGGAAAUCCGCACAAUCCCAAGUUGCCACCAUAGGAAUCAUUCAGAAAGGUAUUGAAUUGAUUUCCCUGAGGUAUAUGUCCAACAAGCUGGUUCUGUGACAGGUUUAACACUCCAAGAAAUUUCAAACCAGUCAACUGCAUAGGAAUCUCCCCGAUAAGCUUGUUGGAGGAGAGAUCCAGUGACUCAAGCGCUGCUAGAUUCCCCAAUGAGGAAGGAAUAUGACCUGUCAGGUUGUUAUGGGAAAAAUUGAGGAUUUGGAGAGAAGAGAGGCUUCCAACUAUUUCUGGAAUUUUUCCUUGGAAUUUGUUGCUCGAAAAAUCAACGGCUGUAAAAACAGUUAGAACUCUCUCAACUUCAAUGUCCAGACCUUUCAUUGUGACAAACAUGGAAAAAUGGUGAUAACCAUUAGGAUUUUCCAUAUAUUUCAUGUCAACAUUGGACAAAUUCAUCAUACCCUUGAAGCUUUUAAAAAAUGCAGUUGGCAAAAAACCAGAGAACUCAUUGUGCGAGAGGUCUAAAAUUCGUAGAACUGAGAAAUUUGAUUCAGCUUCUGAAAGGAGUAUUUGACCAUGGAAAUAGUUGGAGCGUAAGAUAAUAACUUUUAGCUGAGUAAGAGUUCCUAACCAGUGGGGAAAGGUAUCAUUUAUCCUGUUGUUUCCAAGAUUUAACACUUCCAAAUCAUGACAGUUCACCAAGGAUUUAGGAAAUGGCCCAUCAAAAUCAUUGUUCUGGAGAUUAAGUGUCUGUAAUUCAUUUCCAGCCACAAAUGAAUCAGGGAUAUUUCCAUGAAAUUUAUUCAUGUGCAAAUCCAGGAUAUAAAGACCAAGCAUGGUUUCUCCCGAGCAAAGACAUUCUGGAAUAGUUCCACUCAAGUUGUUAUUGGAUAAGUCAAGAAUUGAAAUUGACAUCAAAUUGCAUAUGGCAGAAGGAAUUUCUCCAGUCAAUUUGUUUUUUGAGACUAAAAAAACUUUCGUGGAAGAUGGUGGUACCAGAAGUGGUCCUUCUAGCAGGUUGGAACCAAGGUUAAGAAUCACUAUGUUCUGUGGGUAAUAUUCUAGACCCGUUAAAAAAUUAUUUGAAAGAUCAAGAUAAUUCAAUUUUUUUCCCCAAGUUGUUGUCUGUUUGGAAAUUCGGCCUUCAAUGGUGUUGUUUGAAAGGUCUAGUCGUAGCAAACUCUCUUGAGUUGUCAAAAAAUUUGAAAGUUCAGUUAUAUUGCAAGAAGACAACGACAAAAAACUAAGAUUAGGCAAGACAAGACUAACAUUGCUAUUAUCGCUCAGGGAUAGUGGAAAGUUAUGUGAAAGAUAAAGAAAUUCAAGGCGUUUAAACUUUAAAAACAUAGUUGCCUCGAUGACAUGGAUUUUAUUGUAAGAAAGGUCUAGAUAGACUAAGCCUUCUAGAUUUCUUACAAAAUCCGGAAAUUCACUUAUGUUGCAGGAAGAUAAUUCUAACCACCCAAAAUUGGGCAAGGAAUAAUUCGCAUUGCUUCCACUGGUCAAUGACAGUAAAGCAUUAUUUGAGAGAGAUAGUACCUGAAGCUUGUUAAGCUUUGAGAGUUUGUCCAAUUCGAAGAUGCCAUUCAACUUAUUUGAGGAAAGAUUAAGAUGGAUGAGGUUCACAAGUUUGAAAACAGAGCUUGGAAUUGGACCAUGUAUCUCAUUAUUCUGCAGCUUAACAAUCUCCAAAGGAGCAACCUUCUCAAAUGGGUCAAUAGGGCCAGUUAGCCCGUUAUAACUGAGAUCCAAAUCAACCAAGGUUGGAAGAGUAAACAACCAAUUUGGCACUCUACCAGACAGAAAGUUAUGGUCCAAGUGAAGUCUCAAUAGUCGUGAAAGCCCACUUACGUGAUAGGGAAGGGGACCCAUCAACCUGUUUGUUGAAAAGGACAUAAUUUCAAUUUUUGUGAGGUUGAAUGCUGAAAAUGGAAAAAGACCACUAAGAUCGUUAUUAUCUAAGGACAAGUGAAAAAGUUUGGUGAGGUUCCCAAAACCAUCUGAAAUCUGUCCUACCAAACUAUUAUAGGAAAGGUCUAAAUAUGUGAGCUGCAUGAAGUUAGCAAAUGAAAAUAAAAGUUGGCCAGUAAUUAAGUUCCGUCGCAGGUCUAAAUAGUUUAGUCUAGUGAGGUUGCCAAGAGAUGCAGGAAUUGACCCACUUAAUUGGCAGAAAGAAAGAUCCAAUACCUGGAGAGACCUAAGAUUGCCAAUUGAAUCAGGUACUUCUGCCAGAGAAGAUGAAUAUGAGACUCGUAGCAACUUGAGAGGACCACUCCAAUUAGUCUUUGGGAAGUUGAUUUCCAGGAUAUCAUCAUUACUAAAUAAACUGAACUUCUGGAGGUAUGGCAGGCGCAAAACAUCUUCAGGGAAUUUCCCCCGCAGCCCAUUACUCUCAAGAACAAGAGUCCUUAUGAAAGAAGACAUAUUAAGGAAAGAACUAGGUGCAACUAAAGACAUAUCGAUAGCAGAGAGAUCAAGGUCUCUUAGUUGUGUCAAGUUUCCCAAGAGUUUUUCAAAAACAUGCCCCUCAAAGAUUAAAGGAUUUCCGGAUAUAUCAAGAGAUAAAAGUUUAGAAAGCUGAGAGAUUUCAAGUGGGAUUGUACCUGUAAAUCCUGAGGAACUGAUAUUUAGAUGGGUUAAAUUAGUAAACUGACCAAACUCAAAUGCCAUGCGGGACGGGCCGAAAUAAUUUUCAGCAAGGUUAAGCUUGUGGAGAUGGUGGAGAAGGAAGAGGCUGCUAUUAGAGGGGAUACUGCCUCGAAGGCAGCUGCAACUAAGAUCAAGGCCAAUCACGUUACCUGUUUCAGAAUCACAGUUCACCCCAUCCCAGAAGCAGCAAUUUGUACCCACUUUCCAGGAGAUUGUCUUCCUCUUAUAUUUAUCGCACGAUAAGGAAACAGAGCAAUCGAUGGAAAGGGAAUUCUUGAAUUGGAUUAAGCCAAAGCUCUGGUCAUAAGAACACAACUUAAAUGGAGUAGAAGAAUUGAAAGAGAAACUAGAUAAUGAGCAAUCAACUUGAAAGUUCAAGGACAAAAGGAGGAAACAGAGGACAAAAUACCACUGUAUUAACCUUUUCAUUUUUUUUUUUUCUCUCAGAGAUGACGAAAGUAGAAAAAGGACAAGCUGAAUGUGAAGGUUGAGAGGGAAGCCUGGAGACCAUAUUUAUUGAUUUAUGAUUUCAAGCAAACAAUCACUCAUCAUGUUCACACGUUCAAGCAACUGUUUUCCUUAUUGAUAUUUUUCAAAAGAAACUCAUUUCAUACAUUGUCUAGAUUUCAUCAAUUAAAUUAAUUAGAUUGUCACAUAAUUCAUUAAAAUAUAUGUUAAAAAAUUAAUAAUUUAAUAUGCCGGUCUUCAAAACUCAGAAGACCAAGACUUCGGCCUACCACGUUUCCACUCCGCGUGAGAGAAGGGCCCAAACCAACGACUAACAACAUGACUUUAAUAUCUUCUCCUAAAAGGCGUAAUAGUGAAGGCUGACUAUUGAGGAUGGAGUAGACAGGAAUUGAACGGGUCAUUGAUGCUAAUGCUCUUUCAAAGAGAAUAGUAUGGAGACUCUCUUUCAUCUUCACCAUAAUACUGAAUAUCAAUUUGGUGAAAUCAAUAUAUUAUCCAGGGCAACAAGAGAUUGAAUUUUAUAAGGCAAUAAGGCAUACAGGAGAAGCAACAUUAUCUGCAGCAAGCCAAUAACCCCUCAUAUAGUUCAAAUCAAAUCCCUUUCUUAUACCCUUUUGUAGAUUGGGUAAAAUCUUAAAACCUCUUCAAAACACUUCAAAAAAGGCACUUUAAUCCCUUUUAUUUUAAAAUAAUAUUUUGCAUCUUUGACUGUUAAUAUUAGACCAAAUACUAUAUAAAUAUUUUUUGACAUAAAUAUUCUCUUUUCAAAAAAUCUGCUCAUCAUUCUCCCAAAAAAUUUAAUUAAAAAAAUCUAAAAACUUUUGAUUUGAAGGCUUAGAAAUUUGAAGCUUAAUCUACCUUGAAAACUAUAAACAUCUUUUGAGGUAAACUAUAUUACGGUCACACUCUUUAUUCAUCCAGUAGUUUAAGAAUAUUUUUCAUUAAAAAGAAUGUAUUAAAGCAAAUAUUUUGUUCAAUUAUGGAUAUUUCAAAAUUGAUGGUAUCGGGUUAAGAAAUUAAUUUUUUACUUGGGAUUACUAAUUUUAUUGAAAAAUUUUUGCUCAAAAAUUGUUCUUUGAGGUUAGGGUUUAGAGUGACAUAAAAAGAUUUUGAUUUAAUUACUACAUAUAAAAAGUUUUACGGUUUUUUUUCUUUGUCAAAUAUUAAAUUUUAUAAAAUAUCAAAAUGAUACAAACUACAAUAUUCAUAAAUCCUGUUCUAGAAUUUUAUUAAGUCUUAAGUUUUUUUUUUGUCAAAUAUUGAAUUUUAUUAAAUAUUAAAAUGAAUAAUUUAUCAAGUUAUUGAAAGGAAGAUGAGCAGAAUCUUUUAAGAGUACAUUUGUAUCCUAUAAUAUUUAUACAAAAUUGGGUAUAAUUUUUUUUAAUUGUUGACUAACGAUUUUAACAAUAAAGGGAUCAAAAAUAUCAUUUUGAAACAAAAAAAAUCAAAAUGUCCUUUCAAAAUGUUUUAACGGGCUUUUUGAAUUUUACCCUUUGGAGAUCUUGUUUUCAUUAUGAGAUACUUCAUUGGUCAAAAUUUUCUCUUUGGUUUGGUUAUUAAAUGGAACCAAUUUUGCUUCUUUCUGUUACCAAAACACCCACAACCCUUUCACUCAAUUUUAAAAAUAAAAAUUGGUUGAUUGAUGAAAUUAAUGUAUUUGAUAAUUUUUUUCCCUCAAAUUAAUUUAAACUAUAACGCUCCUGUUAAAAAAUAUAUAGAAAAUACAAAAAUUAAAAAUUGGAUAAAAAGGGGGAAAAGGCCCAAAACCACUUUUAUAGUUUUAUUUAUAUACCAAAACAAAAGGCCUAAUAUGCCUUUGACGUUUUUCUUAAAGUAAAUGACAAAAUCCUUCAAGUGAUCUUUGAUGUCUUACAAUUUGAAGUGAAUCAAAUUUGCAAUUAAAUUUGACUAUUGUGAUCCACUCAUUCAACUGACCAAAAACAUAAUCAGGAUUUCAAGAGUAUUAUUUCUCACAAGCACAUUAGACAGCAUCUGUAGAGUCCAAUUACUUUGCUUCCGUAGCAAGCGGUGUUUUGCGUGAAGAAAAUUAUGGCGUACUCUUUGGGGCCGGGGUCUUUAAAGCUCGUAAGACCGAGACUUUUGCCUGCCACUUUUCCACCACUCCGCUGAAGGCGGGACUCAGACCAAGGACUUACAACAUGACUCUGAUAUGUUCUCCUAAACAGCGUAGUAGUGAAUGCUAACUAUUGAGAAUGGAGCAGACAAGAAUUGGACAGGUCGUUGGCGCUAAUACUCUUUGAAAGAGACUAACAUGGAGAUUCUCUUUCAUCUUCACCAUAAUACUGAAUAUCAAUUUGAUAAAAUCAAUAUGUUAUCCAGGGCAACAAGAGAUUGGAUUUUAUAGGACAUUAUAAGGCAUACAGGAGAACCAAAGACAGUAUAAUACGCAAAUGUAAUCAACAAACCACCGAAGAGCAGCAUCUGUCUUCGCAGAGUUUCUUCUUCCUCAAUGAUAACUCUUCAAUCUCCUCAGAAUUUUGUAGCCUAGUCCUUGAACCAUCCUAACAAGCCAUUCUGGUUUUCCAAUUGUCAGCAUGAUAUAUCCUGUAGAUAAUCCAAGCACCAGUCCACAUCCAUAACCCAUCAUUACAAAUUUCCAAUCCAAUGGACAAGGAAAAAUUCCUUCCUCAUGAAGAGCAGAUUCCGGUGGUUCUUGUUCCUCAUCCUUGCCACACCUCUUUGACACUGGAAAUCCGCACAAUCCCAAGUUGCCACCAUAGGAAUCAUUCAGAAAGGUAUUAAAUUGAUUUCCCUGAGGUAUGAGUCCAACAAGCUGGUUCUGUGACAGGUUUAACACUUCAAGAAAUUUCAAACCAUUUAACUGCAUAGGAAUCUCCCCGACGAGCUUGUUGGUAGAGAGAUCCAGUGACUCAAGUGCUGUUAGCUUCCCCACUGAGGAAGGAAUAUGACCUGUUAGGCUGUUAUGGGAAAAAUUGAGCACUUGGAGAGAAAUGAGGUUUCCAACUAUUUCUGGAAUUUCUCCAUGGAAUUUGUUGCUUGACAUAUCAAUGGUUGUAAAAAGAGUUAGAAUUCUCUCAAGUACCAGGUCCAUACCUUUCAUUGUGACAAGCACGGAAAAAUGGUAAUAACGAUUCAAAUCUUCCAUAGAAGUCCGUUGAACAUUGGACAAAGUCAUCAUACCCCUGAAACUUUUAAAAUAUGUUGUUGGCAAAAGCCCAGAGAACUCAUUGUGGGAGAGGUCUAAGAUUCGCAGAGCUGAGAAGUGCGAUUCAUUUUCUGAAGGGCUUAUUUGACCAUGGAAAUAGUUGGAGCGCAAGACAAGAACUUGCAGCUGAGGAAGAGUUCCCAACCAGUGGGGAAAGGUACCGUUUAUCUUGUUGUUUCCAAGAUUUAACACUUGCAAAUCAUGACAGUUCUCCAAGGAUUUAGGAAACGGCCCAUCAAAAUCAUUGUUGUUGAGGUUAAGUAUCUGUAAUUUGUUUCCUACAACGAACGAAUCAGGGAUGUUUCCAUGAAAUUUAUUCAUGUGCAAAUCUAGGACCGUAAGAUUAGGCAUCUUACCUCUCGAGGCCAGACAAUCUGGAAUAGCUCCGCUCAACUCGUUAUUGGACAAGUCAAGAACUGAAAUUGAUAUCAAAUUACAUAUGGAAUAAGGAAUUUCUCCAACCAACUUGUUUUUUGAGAUUAAGAAAACUUCCAUCGAAGAAUUGGAAGAGAAAUUAGAUAAUGAGCAAUCAACUUUAAAGUUCAAGGACAAGAGGAGGAAACAAAGGACCAAAUACCACUGUAUUAACCCCUUCAUUUUUUUUUCUCAGAAAUGGUGAAAGAAGCAAAAUAGAAAACUGAAUGUGAAGGUUGAGAGAGAUAAGAAUGGAGACCGUAUUUAUACAUAUGAUUUCAAGCAAACAACCACCAGUCAUGUUCACACAUUCAAACAACCAUUUUUAUUACUGAUAUAGACUACAACCCGUGCUUUGCAUACAGACCUCUUUUUAUUUGUUUUUUUCUUUCUCUUUCUACCUCUUUUUUUUUUUUUUCUUCUCUUUUUCCUAUGCCUUUCACGUAGGUAAAGGAGGAAGCCCUAAGUAUGUUAUAAAUUUUUUAAAAGAAAAUUAUUUCAUAUAUUGUUAAUUUGUAAAUUUCAUUAACUAAAUUAAUUAGAUUGUCACAUACUUCAAUAUUAGAAUAUAUUUAAAAAAUUAAUAAUUUAAUAUCAUACAUAAAAAAAUAUGUAACGAUAUUUUAACUUUAAGUUGGAAACAUGGGAUUGUAGUUCUUUUUUUUUCAACCCCCAAUGAUUCAAGUAACCAAAAAACUUAUCGGGAUAUCAAGAGUAUUAUUUCAUAAAACCAAGACUUUCACUUGUCAUGUUUUUACCUUGGUAUGAACGUGGGACUCAAACCAAAGGACUAACAACAUGACUUUUAUGUCUUCUUAAAAAGCAUAAAAUUGAAGGCUAAUCUCUAAGAAUGAAACAGGUAAGAAUUGAACGUGAACGUAUCAUUGAUAUAAAAUAUAAAAAUAUUAUAUAAUUAUAUUAUUAUAUUAUAUCAAUCUAUCAUAUUUAAAGAUAAAGCUCUUUUAAUGGAUCUAAAAAAAUUUUUAAAUUUAUUUUAUAUUAUAUAAAAUUUUUAAUUUUUUUAUAAAUUCUUUUAAUAUCUUUUCUAAAAUAACUUUUAAUUUAAUAAUUAAUGUAAAUAAAAAAUAACAAAAUGAUUCCAUAUGCUUGACUCAAUUUAAAAGUUUUGUUUUAUUUUUUUUCAAUUUAUAUUUUAAUUAUUUAUAUUUACUUUUUUUCAUUUCUAUUAUAUUUAUUCAUAUGUUUUAAAUCUUUAUAAAUUUUCUUCCACAAAUUUCAACGAACAAUCAGUCAUAUUCUUUUUCCUUCUUUUUACUAUGUCAUAUGUGAGUUUAUCUUAUACUUGCCAUGUUUAUAUUUUUUCUAUUAUGUGAAUUUUAUUUUUAUGAUUUUAGUCUUUAAAUAUUAAUAAAUUAUUAUAUAAUUUUCAAAUAUAAGUUGCAAUAUUGUACUAUUGUUUAAAAUUUUAUCAAUAUAUCAUUUUUUAUUCAGAAUAACCGAUACGCUCUAACAUGUAUGUUUCAUACUUUAAGUAACAAGGAUAUAUAUACAAAUUAAUAAAAUUAAAUGAUCGUAUUUCUUUCAAUACAAUUUAUUUAUUAUAUAUAUUUUUAAUGACCCUCAAAAUAAUUUUUUAUUUAAUAAUUAUUUUUAUUCCUCAAAUUAUUUGAUAAUAUUACAGUCAUUAUGGUCAAUAUUUCACUAGUUAAUCCCAACAAAUAAAAUAUUCUAACAUAAUAUGUUAAGCCUAUCAAGUUUUAAAGAAAAAAUAAAUUGACUCUACUAACCUAAACCCAUUAAAUUUUAAUAAAAAUCUAAACAUAUCAUAACAUAUUAUAUCUUAACAGUCCAACCCAAUAGCUUAUCAUAACAUAUUAUAUUUCAAUAGUUCAACUCAAUAACUUAGUAUGUUAAUUAACAAUUUAAGAGGUAAAUAAAAAAUAAAAAAAAAGAGCUUUUUUAAAAAGUUAUUCAUUUUGUAUAAAACACACAAAGUAAAGAGACAUUUGAAUUUGAAAAUUUGUUUUCUCUUCCACUUUUGGGCACAGAGAGUGAAAAAGACUCAUUUCAUAAUUUCAUUCCGUUUAUAUAUAUAUAACGCCAUUAUUACUAUUAAUGUGUAUUUUUUUAUAUAUCCAAUGUUUUAUGAAUUUUAUUUAAUCUUUUAGAUGAGUGAAAAUUAAAUGGUAUAUAAAGUUCUCUGUGACUGUUUAAUGUCUCUUUCUAUUUGAUUCUCUUUAAAAUGCUUUAACUUCGUCAUUGAUCACGUCAUCAUAAUUAUGAUAUAUUAACAUGCUAUGUCAACGUUACGUGAUAUAAAAUGAUAAUUAAUAUUUUGAUUAAAUCAAUCUUUAAUUAUAAUUUUUUUAAGGUUUGGCAGAUGAGAAUUAGGCCACGUCUCUUAACCAUCCAGUUUGCUAAAGGUUGCAAAUUAUUAUAGCCAACUUACCGGUUUAGAUCAUUAUUGGACUCUCCUCAUGUUUCUUCGAAAGUUUUUUUGUUAAAUAGAGACUCUGGUCAAUUGUUAGUAUUGAAUCGCUUUCUUAAUUGAAUUUUUUGAUUAAUUGUCAGUGUUGAAUCACUUUCUUAAUUGAAUUUUACAUAGAAAAUUCAUUCUUUCUUCGAUAUUUCAAAAAAAUAAUCAUAAUUUUUUUUCUUGUUUGAUUAUUAAAUGAAACCAAUUUCUUUUCUAUCUGUCCCCAAAGGUCCCACAACCUUCAUACUCAAUUUUAAAUAUAAAAAUUGAUUGAUUGAUGAAAUUAAUGUAUUUGAUAAUUUUUUCUCUAAUUAAUUUUAAACAGUAACCUUUUUGUUAGAAAAAAUAUAUAGAAAAAAAAAAGAAUGGAUGAAAAAAGAAGAAAAGGCCCAAAACAUCUUUCACCACCAAAAAGCCCAAAACCACUUUCAAUCAAACAACGUUAAAGUCCAGAAACACAAGUAAUGACACGAGUUCGGCUUAAGGUUUAUCCAAAACGACAUACAGUUUUCAUAUCUCUGUCUCCAUUGAUCGUGAAACAAUGGAGGGACGGAUAAAAUACCCUAAAAUUCAAAGAGUAGACUACCAGUCCAAAUUCUUCUCUUAGGUAUUUUUAAUUUUUUUCUUCUCUUGUUAAAAUGUGUUUGGUUGCCUAGAAAACAAAGGAAAAGGAACUAGAAAGCUUGUAAUUCUGUUUCUUUUAUGUUUUUCUAUUUGGCUUUUUGAUAAAACAUUUGGGUUUUGCUAGAAUUGUUAAAUAAAUAAAUAACAUUAACGGAGAUAACUAUGAUAAAGAGAACGAAUUUUUUUUUUUACUGUUGACAAAUGGUGUUAAUAAUAAAAAAAACUAAAAUAUCAUUUUGAAACAAGAAAAAUUAAAGUGUCUUUUCAAAAUGUUUUAACGGGUUUUUUGAGUUUUACCCUUUGGAGAUCUUGAUUUUGUUACGAGAUACUUCAUUGAUCAAAAUUUUCUCUUUUGCUUGGUUAUUAAAUGGAGCCAAUUUCUCUUCUUUCUGUUACCAAAACAACCACAGCCCUUUCACUCAAUUUUAAAGAUACAAAUUGAUUGAUUGAUGAAAUUAAUGUGCUUGAUAAUUUUUUUUUCCUCAAAUUAAUUUAAACUGUAACGCUUCUGUUAAAAAAUAUAUAAAAGAUUACAAAAAUAAAAAAUUGGAUAAAAAGGGGGAAAAGGCCCAAAAUCCCUUUUAUAGUUUUAUUUAUAUACCAAAACAAAAGGCCUAAUAUGCCUCUGACGAUUUUCUUAAAGUAAAUGACAAAAUCCUUUAAGUGAUCUUUGAUGUCUUACAAUUUGAAGUGAAUCAAAUUUGCAAUUGAAUUUGACUAUUGUGAUCCGCUCAUUCAAGUAACCAAAAAACUUAAUCAGGAUUUUAAGAGUACUAUUUCUCACAAGCACAUUAGACAGCAUCUGUAGAAUCCAAUUACUUUGCGUCUGUAGCAAGCAGUGUUUUGCGUGAAGAAAAUUAUGGCGUACUCUUUGGGGCCGGGGUCCUCAAAGCUCAUAAGACCAAGACCUUUGCCUACCACUUUUCCACCCCUGCGUGAAGGUGGGACUUAAACCAAGGACUUACAACAUGACUUUGGCCUGCCACUUUUCCACCCCUGCGUGACAGUGGGACUCAAACCAAAGCACUAACAGCAUGACUCUGAAAUGUUCUCCUAAACAGCGUAGUAGUGGAGGCUAACUAUUGAGAAUGGAGCUGACAAGAAUUGGACAGGUCGUUGAUGCUAAUACUCUUUGAAUGAGAAUAAUAUGGAGAUUCUCUUUCAUCUUCACCAAAAUACUGAAUAUCAAUUUGAUAAAAUCAAUGUGUUAUCCAGGGCAACAAGAGAUUGGAUUUUAUAGGGCAUUAUAAGGCAUACAGGAGAACAAAAGACAGUUAUAAUACGCAAAUGUAUUCAACAAACCAACGAAGAGCAGCAUCUGUCUUCGCAGAGUUUCUUCUUCCUCAAUUAUAACUCUUCAAUCUCCUCAGAAUUUUGUAGCCUAGUCUUUGAACCAUCCUAACUAGCCAUUCUGGUUUUCCAAUUGUCAGCAUGAUAUACCCUGUAGAUAAUCCAAGCACCAGUCCACAUCCAUAACCCAUCAUUACAAAUUUCCAAUCCAAUGGACAAGAAUAAAUUCCUUCCUCAUGGAAAGCAGAUUCCGGUGGUUCUUGUUCCUCAUCCUUGCCACAGCUCUUUGACACUGGAAAUCCGCACAAUCCCAAGUUGCCACGAUAGGAAUCAUUCAGAAAGGUAUUAAAUUGAUUUCCCUGAGGUAUGAGUCCAACAAGCUGGUUCUGUGACAGGUUUAACACUUCAAGAAAUAUCAAACCAAUCAACUGCAUAGGAAUCUGCCCAACAAGCUUGUUGGUAGAAAGAUCCAGUGACUCAAGUGCUGUUAGAUUUCCCAGUGAGGAAGGAAUAU